Pongo pygmaeus (Bornean orangutan) is the source of this 2114-nucleotide long non-coding RNA. RefSeq lists it as uncharacterized. NCBI's taxonomy places the organism in Eukaryota, Metazoa, Chordata, Mammalia, Primates, Hominidae. The record is from RefSeq and is a predicted model, not a curated record. The transcript is spliced from 3 exons.
CAUCACUAUGGACCAGACAGGUGGACUUCCAGGCCAACAGCAUGGCAAGGAGCUUCCUGGAAUGCCAUGAAAUCCAAAAGUCAGAAUAAGAUUAUUUGCCUCAUGGAGGACUUGCCUAAUUACCAGAAUAAGGUUGGCAGUUUGUGAUAUCUUCUGGUUAAGUUUUCAACUUUAGUUAUGAAGUUACCAUGAGAAGCAGGAGUUAUGAAUACAAAGCAUUCAGAAAAUUUGCCAGCGUGGACUUAUAUCUCUAAAAUAGGAUUGGCUCAAGUGCUAUCAAGGCACCAUACCAGGACCUGUGUUAUGUCGGAGAAAACAAAAGACAACAGAUAUUCCUUGUGUAUGUUGGUGAAAUACUACUAUUAAAAAGUUUGAAGCUUUUCCACAGAUGAAGGCAGCAUCUGGUCAGUGCCACAUCACUGGGCUUCAGGAGAAUCGGGUAAAGUAAAACAGGGUCUUAUCUUCCUCUGUGUUGUUAGAACCGAGUGGCUGCUGCCCAUGGGGUACUGGCCUCAUGUGCCACCUGCUCAGAGCACAUCCUGAGGACACCAGCUUUCCCCAGGGUGUCUCCUCCACACGCCACCAGGGUGAGGGGCAGUGUCACUAAUACCUUUCCCUGACCUGUCAACCCUGCACCCAGUGGGACAAUUGGAGGUAUGUGCUGAGCAUCACUGUGUUGCUGGCAAGUCUACCUGGCUGCAGAGCAAGGCCUUUCAGGCUCUGGAGAUAAUGAGAAGAGCCUGGGUGCAUCUUAACCACCCCAGCCUCCUCCCCAGGGAUUUUCUGAGUUACCUUCCCUGUGCUCAUGAUCCUCACUACCUGGAAGGGACUCCACCCUGCCAAUGCUGACCCACGGGGCUCUAACACUUGGUGUCAAAGGGGGAGGGACACUGUUCAGUGAGUGCCCACCUGGCCUAGGUCUACGGGGCUCUGUUUGAGUCCUUCCUGAACCUCAUGUAACCCUCCAGUGGCUGAUAGGCCCCAGGGAAGGUAAACCUACAGUCAGGAGAUGCCAUCAAGGCCUCACCUGUGAUACAUGGCAGAGGUCGGAUAUCUCUCUUUGUCCCUAAACCCUGAACUUUUCCCUCUAAGCUGUGCUCCUUGGCUGCUCCAGACAAUGUGUUCCAGGAACCCAGGACUUUGGAGCUGGAUCUGCCCCCUUGGGUGCAUGGACACUGAGAAGAGAGGCUGCCUUCUCUCUGACUCACUGUCAGGCAAAACUCACAACACAUUCCUGACCACUGAAGUGCCAGUGGAUAAUGCAGUUCCUAGCACAGGCGCCCAGUGUACUCAGCACUAAGGGCUGGAUCAGCCUGAACGACAGCACUAGAACAUUCCACAAGCAUCACUCACUCUCUGACAACCACCUCAACUUUUCACUUCCAGCUUAGUUGGUCAAUGGUUUCAGAAUCUUUGGCCUUUCCUGACUCUGUCUUGAAGCCUCUAGGGCUGGAGAACUCACUCCCAACCUGAGACAGGCAGAUAAAGUAUCCAGGGGACAUUCCACCAGCAGCCACUGGGACUUUAACACUGAAGCUGUACUUAGAUAAGCAAGAGCUGAUUUCACACAAGUUCUUACUUCUUCUCUCUCUCUCAGAGAGCUGUUAGCACUCUCAGGGUCAAUGCCUUGUACCGAUGGAAAUACUUCCUGCUGCACUCAUAACUCAUGUUUCAUUAUAACAUAGGGAAGAUGCAUGAUUGAUAGUCUCCAUAUGCAGACACUGUGUCAUUAGUCAAAUGAAUCAUUCCAGCAGGUGCCUGGGAAAGGCUGGGGCCAGCUGACAUCUUAUGAUGAUUCCAUAGUCUUUGUGUCUCAUGCAACUAAAAAUAGCUCUCUAAGAUGAAAAAUUUGAAUUGAAGCACAUUUUUCUGCAUGGGGAAAGUUGUGCCCAUUAAAUUUCUUCUGAUUUUCUGCAUGGGGAAAGAAGUGCCCACUAAAUUGGCUCUGAAUGUGCUUACUAUAGUUCUUUCCUUUGAAUAUGAUUUUCUGCUGUUGAUUUUGAUCAGUAAAAAUGGAAUACUGACCAACAACUACUCUGUUGGUUCAAUUGGCUAAUUUCCGGUACAAAGUUUGAUUGAUUUUCAACAAAAUUAAAAAUAAAUAAAUAAAUGAA